Molecule: transfer RNA, 64 nt
Filed under: Amolops wuyiensis (Sanchiang sucker frog)
Lineage: Eukaryota; Metazoa; Chordata; Amphibia; Anura; Ranidae
Description: tRNA-Cys
Rfam family: tRNA
About the family: Transfer RNA (tRNA) molecules are approximately 80 nucleotides in length. Their secondary structure includes four short double-helical elements and three loops (D, anti-codon, and T loops).
Source: RNAcentral
GGCCCUGGAGUGUUACCACGUGCGGUUGCAAACCGCAAGACGCAGUUAAUUCCUGCCGGGGCUU